RNAcentral lists this ribosomal RNA (635 nucleotides) under uncultured bacterium. RNAcentral's name for it is "bacterial SSU rRNA". It matches the Rfam family "Bacterial small subunit ribosomal RNA", at positions 9 to 639 of the family's 1533-position model. The record is from RNAcentral.
GAGUUUGAUCAUGGCUCAGAUUGAACGCUGGCGGCAUGCCUUACACAUGCAAGUCGAACGGCAGCACGGGAGCAAUCCUGGUGGCGAGUGGCGAACGGGUGAGUAAUACAUCGGAACGUGCCCAGUAGUGGGGGAUAACCCGGCGAAAGCCGGACUAAUACCGCAUACGACCUACGGGUGAAAGCAGGGGAUCGCAAGACCUUGCGCUAUCGGAGCGGCCGAUGUCAGAUUAGCUUGUUGGUGGGGUAAAGGCCCACCAAGGCGACGAUCUGUAGCUGGUCUGAGAGGACGACCAGCCACACUGGGACUGAGACACGGCCCAGACUCCUACGGGAGGCAGCAGUGGGGAAUUUUGGACAAUGGGCGCAAGCCUGAUCCAGCCAUGCCGCGUGCGGGAAGAAGGCCUUCGGGUUGUAAACCGCUUUUGUCAGGGAAGAAACGCUCCGGGUUAAUACCUCGGAGUAAUGACGGUACCUGAAGAAUAAGCACCGGCUAACUACGUGCCAGCAGCCGCGGUAAUACGUAGGGUGCAAGCGUUAAUCGGAAUUACUGGGCGUAAAGCGUGCGCAGGCGGCUUUGCAAGACAGAUGUGAAAUCCCCGGGCUUAACCUGGGAACUGCAUUUGUGACUGCAUG